GGCAGAUUCUCUACUUUGAGCCAUUCUGUGUGCAGUGCCCUACCCAGUAAGGUACUGAUCACUUACUUAGACUACAUGUGAUCAGUGCCUGUCUGGGUGGAGUAAUGCUCUACAAGAACAACGUUUGGGAGGGUCUUCAGACU
This is a microRNA precursor of Equus caballus (horse), 143 nucleotides long. The record is from Ensembl. NCBI's taxonomy places the organism in Eukaryota, Metazoa, Chordata, Mammalia, Perissodactyla, Equidae.